RNAcentral lists this ribosomal RNA (253 nucleotides) under uncultured bacterium. Its description in RNAcentral is "partial 16S ribosomal RNA". It matches the Rfam family "Bacterial small subunit ribosomal RNA", at positions 524 to 776 of the family's 1533-position model. The record is from RNAcentral.
UACGUAGGGGGCGAGCGUUGUCCGGAUUUAUUGGGCGUAAAGGGCGUGUAGGCGGCCUGGUAAGUCAGGGGUGAAACCCCAGGGCUCAACCCUGGGCGUGCCUCUGAUACUGCUGGGCUUGAGUACUCUAGAGGGCAGUGGAAUUGCCGGUGUAGCAGUGAAAUGCGUAGAGAUCGGCAGGAACACCAGUGGCGAAGGCGACUGCCUGGGGAGAAACUGACGCUGAGGCGCGAAAGCUAGGGGAGCAAACAGG